Molecule: long non-coding RNA, 1383 nt
Organism: Polistes canadensis
Lineage: Eukaryota; Metazoa; Arthropoda; Insecta; Hymenoptera; Vespidae
Exons: 3
Source: RefSeq, a predicted model, not a curated record
AAAGAAAAUAAAACAUAAAGUCGAUGCUCGUCGAUACUCGUGGCAAACGAAAUUAAUUUGUCCUUCGUGAAUAGCUCAUUAAAAGUGAGCAAAGAGCAAGUUACGUUACGGUGGCACGAGUUUGUCUCAAGUGGCGGCUGUCGUCGGUCAAUCUGCCGUAUAAAUGCAUCCGCGUGUCCUCGUUAACGUCUCCUCCGCGUUUUACGAAUCGGACGGGCGACCGGAGGAGGCAUUUUGCGGUGUGCGUGUGUUGGUCGGUAAAUAAAUGUGAAACAACGAACGGUGUUGGUACUUGGGAUAGACGACGGUUCAUGGCGAUUCUGCGCGGUCACAAUACGAUCAUUAGGCUAUUUUCCAGAGUAUACCACCGGCUAGUCGCAAUAUCUUUCUCUCUCAUUCUUCCUCUAUCUUAGCUUAGCUUUACCUACCUCUUUUCUUUCCUCUCUUAACACAGCCAACGUAUUUGUCCCGUCUGGCAAAGGGGCUUUCUGCGCGCUGGUAUUCACACAACUUGUAAGCUAUUCUCCAUAGUCGGUACUAGUUCAAGUUAUAAGUAUGGAGUAAGCAUAGCCGUAAAGAGAGUCCUGUCGUAUUCCAAGAGCAAAGUGCGAUGUCUGACGGUGAUCUUGUUACCGCAAAAGUGUGCGCAAUAAACAGGAGACUCCGUCGUUCGCGGGUGCCAUCCUGAGCUUCGUAAACUCAUGCCAAGUUCUUGGACAAUGUUAGCAAAAAGGGUACACAACAAAGCCGCUUAUGGUAGGUAGUACAAGAAACUCGUACUUACUACCAUGCCAUUCGUAUCGCGUCCACGUGUCUUCCGCGUCACCGUACGAUCGAUGGUACCCAUUUCUAUCAGAAAAUGGAGUACUUACUAUAAAUCCUCCGUACCGAAGGCACGUCGACUCAAAGAUAUUUCCUGCAUCUAUGGGACAUGUAAAUGAAAAAAGAAGGAGGUUGAGGAGACGAUUAUGCGACUUUCGUAUCACGAGGAAGAAGAGACGUAACGCAUAUCAUAUCUCGUGAUCUUUACGACACCGAUGAUCGUUCGAGCGACGGCUGAGGGGCUAACAAUGUCGAAACCUUUCCUUCAGCUCACGAGAAUGGAACUAACGUGGAAAGCAAGAGUGCGAGAUGACAACGACGACCACGACGACACGACGUCCUGGACGAGUGAGAUUAUCGGUCACGUCGAAUCGCACGAGUCUCUUACAAACGUUAACGAUUUUGCGAUACAAGUCCUUUGAUCAUCAUCAUGAUAAUAAUGAUGAUGAUGAUAAUGCUUUGCCUUAUAGUUAUUGCAAAUUUCUGUAAAAAUGGAAUAAUUACGAUUGAUAUCUUGUAAAUGAUUCUUACCGAAAUAAAUCUCUUGUCGUAAAGAUAAAU